Molecule: ribosomal RNA, 633 nt
Filed under: bacterium 4878K2-B8
Lineage: Bacteria
Description: bacterial SSU rRNA
Rfam family: Bacterial small subunit ribosomal RNA
Source: RNAcentral
GUCGAGCGGUAACAGAAUGAUAGCUUGCUAUCAAUGCUGACGAGCGGCGGACGGGUGAGUAAUGCCUGGGAAUAUGCCCUGAUGUGGGGGAUAACUAUUGGAAACGAUAGCUAAUACCGCAUAAUCUCUUCGGAGCAAAGAGGGGGACCUUCGGGCCUCUCGCGUCAGGAUUAGCCCAGGUGGGAUUAGCUUGUUGGUGGGGUAAUGGCUCACCAAGGCAACGAUCCCUAGCUGGUCUGAGAGGAUGAUCAGCCACACUGGAACUGAGACACGGUCCAGACUCCUACGGGAGGCAGCAGUGGGGAAUAUUGCACAAUGGGGGAAACCCUGAUGCAGCCAUGCCGCGUGUAUGAAGAAGGCCUUCGGGUUGUAAAGUACUUUCAGUUGUGAGGAAGGCGUUGAUGUUAAUAGCUUCAGCGUUUGACGUUAGCAACAGAAGAAGCACCGGCUAACUCCGUGCCAGCAGCCGCGGUAAUACGGAGGGUGCGAGCGUUAAUCGGAAUUACUGGGCGUAAAGCGCAUGCAGGUGGUCUGUUAAGCAAGAUGUGAAAGCCCGGGGCUCAACCUCGGAACAGCAUUUUGAACUGGCAGACUAGAGUACUGUAGAGGGGGGUAGAAUUUCAGGUGUAGCGG